This 885-nucleotide ribosomal RNA is filed under the name Weissella hellenica. RNAcentral describes it as "bacterial SSU rRNA". It matches the Rfam family "Bacterial small subunit ribosomal RNA", at positions 37 to 878 of the family's 1533-position model. The record is from RNAcentral. Lineage: Bacteria; Bacillati; Bacillota; Bacilli; Lactobacillales; Lactobacillaceae.
UGGCGGCGUGCCUAAUACAUGCAAGUCGAACGCUUUGUGCUUAAUUGAUAUGACGAGCUUGCUCUGAUUUGAUUUUUUGAUUUCAAAGAGUGGCGAACGGGUGAGUAACACGUGGGUAACCUACCUCUUAGCAGGGGAUAACAUUUGGAAACAAGUGCUAAUACCGUAUAAUACCAACAACCGCAUGGUUGUUGGUUGAAAGAUGGUUCUGCUAUCACUAAGAGAUGGACCCGCGGUGCAUUAGCUAGUUGGUAAGGUAAUGGCUUACCAAGGCAAUGAUGCAUAGCCGAGUUGAGAGACUGAUCGGCCACAAUGGGACUGAGACACGGCCCAUACUCCUACGGGAGGCAGCAGUAGGGAAUCUUCCACAAUGGGCGCAAGCCUGAUGGAGCAACGCCGCGUGUGUGAUGAAGGGUUUCGGCUCGUAAAACACUGUUAUAAGAGAAGAACGGCACUGAGAGUAACUGUUCAGUGUGUGACGGUAUCUUACCAGAAAGGAACGGCUAAAUACGUGCCAGCAGCCGCGGUAAUACGUAUGUUCCAAGCGUUAUCCGGAUUUAUUGGGCGUAAAGCGAGCGCAGACGGUUAUUUAAGUCUGAAGUGAAAGCCCUCAGCUCAACUGAGGAAUUGCUUUGGAAACUGGAUGACUUGAGUGCAGUAGAGGAAAGUGGAACUCCAUGUGUAGCGGUGAAAUGCGUAGAUAUAUGGAAGAACACCAGUGGCGAAGGCGGCUUUCUGGACUGUAACUGACGUUGAGGCUCGAAAGUGUGGGUAGCAAACAGGAUUAGAUACCCUGGUAGUCCACACCGUAAACGAUGAGUGCUAGAUGUUCGAGGGUUUCCGCCCUUGAGUGUCGCAGCUAACGCAUAAGCACUCCGCCGGGGG